Molecule: ribosomal RNA, 1356 nt
Filed under: uncultured bacterium
Lineage: Bacteria
Description: bacterial SSU rRNA
Rfam family: Bacterial small subunit ribosomal RNA
Source: RNAcentral
CCUGGCUCACGAUUAACGCUGGCGGCGCGCCUAACACAUGCAAGUCGAACGAUAGAUGAAGAGCUUGCUCUUCAAAUCGAGUGGCGAACGGGUGAGUAACGCGUGAGGAACCUGCCUCAAAGAGGGGGACAACAGUUGGAAACGACUGCUAAUACCGCAUAAGCCCACGGCUCGGCAUCGAGCAGAGGGAAAAGGAGCAAUCCGCUUUGAGAUGGCCUCGCGUCCGAUUAGCUAGUUGGUGAGGUAACGGCCCACCAAGGCGACGAUCGGUAGCCGGACUGAGAGGUUGAACGGCCACAUUGGGACUGAGACACGGCCCAGACUCCUACGGGAGGCAGCAGUGGGGAAUAUUGCACAAUGGGGGAAACCCUGAUGCAGCGACGCCGCGUGGAGGAAGAAGGUCUUCGGAUUGUAAACUCCUGUUGUUGAGGAAGAUAAUGACGGUACUCAACAAGGAAGUGACGGCUAACUACGUGCCAGCAGCCGCGGUAAAACGUAGGUCACAAGCGUUGUCCGGAAUUACUGGGUGUAAAGGGAGCGCAGGCGGGAGAACAAGUUGGAAGUGAAAUCCAUGGGCUCAACCCAUGAACUGCUUUCAAAACUGUUUUUCUUGAGUAGUGCAGAGGUAGGCGGAAUUCCCGGUGUAGCGGUGGAAUGCGUAGAUAUCGGGAGGAACACCAGUGGCGAAGGCGGCCUACUGGGCACCAACUGACGCUGAGGCUCGAAAGUGUGGGUAGCAAACAGGAUUAGAUACCCUGGUAGUCCACACCGUAAACGAUGAUUACUAGGUGUUGGAGGAUUGACCCCUUCAGUGCCGCAGUUAACACAAUAAGUAAUCCACCUGGGGAGUACGACCGCAAGGUUGAAACUCAAAGGAAUUGACGGGGGCCCGCACAAGCAGUGGAGUAUGUGGUUUAAUUCGACGCAACGCGAAGAACCUUACCAAGUCUUGACAUCCCUUGACGAUACUGGAAACAGUAUUUCUCUUCGGAGCAAGGAGACAGGUGGUGCAUGGUUGUCGUCAGCUCGUGUCGUGAGAUGUUGGGUUAAGUCCCGCAACGAGCGCAACCCUUAUGGUCAGUUACUACGCAAGAGGACUCUGGCCAGACUGCCGUUGACAAAACGGAGGAAGGUGGGGAUGACGUCAAAUCAUCAUGCCCUUUAUGACUUGGGCUACACACGUACUACAAUGGCGUUAAACAAAGAGAAGCAAGACCGCGAGGUGGAGCAAAACUCAGAAACAACGUCCCAGUUCGGACUGCAGGCUGCAACUCGCCUGCACGAAGUCGGAAUUGCUAGUAAUCGUGGAUCAGCAUGCCACGGUGAAUACGUUCCCGGGCCUUGCACACACCGCCC